AUUGAACGCUGGCGGCAUGCUUUACACAUGCAAGUCGAACGGCAGCGCGGGCUUCGGCCUGGCGGCGAGCGGCGAACGGGUGAGUAAUACAUCGGAACGUGCCCAGUAGUGGGGGAUAGCUCGGCGAAAGCCGGAUUAAUACCGCAUACGACCUGAGGGUGAAAGCGGGGGAUCUUCGGACCUCGCGCUAUUGGAGCGGCCGAUGGCAGAUUAGCUAGUUGGUGGGGUAAAGGCCUACCAAGGCGACGAUCUGUAGCUGGUCUGAGAGGACGACCAGCCACACUGGGACUGAGACACGGCCCAGACUCCUACGGGAGGCAGCAGUGGGGAAUUUUGGACAAUGGGCGAAAGCCUGACCCAGCAAUGCCGCGUGUGUGAUGAAGGCCUUCGGGUUGUAAAGCACUUUUGGCGGGAACGAAAAGGACUGUGCCAAUACCACGGUUCGAUGACGGUACCCGCAGAAUAAGCACCGGCUAACUACGUG
This 484-nucleotide ribosomal RNA is filed under the name uncultured bacterium. RNAcentral's name for it is "partial 16S ribosomal RNA". It matches the Rfam family "Bacterial small subunit ribosomal RNA", at positions 29 to 507 of the family's 1533-position model. The record is from RNAcentral.